RNAcentral lists this ribosomal RNA (824 nucleotides) under uncultured bacterium. RNAcentral describes it as "bacterial SSU rRNA". It matches the Rfam family "Bacterial small subunit ribosomal RNA", at positions 67 to 862 of the family's 1533-position model. The record is from RNAcentral.
UGGUAUUGAUUGGUGCUUGCAUCAUGAUUUACAUUUGCGUGAGUGGCGAACUGGUGAGUAACACGUGGGAAACCUGCCCACAAGAGGGGGAUAACACCUGGAAACAGAUGCUAAUACCGCAUAACAACUUGGACCGCAUGGUCCGAGUUUGAAAGAUGGCUUCGGCUAUCACUUUUGGAUGGUCCCGCGGCGUAUUAGCUAGAUGGUGAGGUAACGGCUCACCAUGGCAAUGAUACGUAGCCGACCUGAGAGGGUAAUCGGCCACAUUGGGACUGAGACACGGCCCAAACUCCUACGGGAGGCAGCAGUAGGGAAUCUUCCACAAUGGACGAAAGUCUGAUGGAGCAACGCCGCGUGAGUGAAGAAGGGUUUCGGCUCGUAAAACUCUGUUGUUAAAGAAGAACAUAUCUGAGAGUAACUGUUCAGGUAUUGACGGUAUUUAACCAGAAAGCCACGGCUAACUACGUGCCAGCAGCCGCGGUAAUACGUAGGUGGCAAGCGUUGUCCGGAUUUAUUGGGCGUAAAGCGAGCGCAGGCGGUUUUUUAAGUCUGAUGUGAAAGCCUUCGGCUCAACCGAAGAAGUGCAUCGGAAACUGGGAAACUUGAGUGCAGAAGAGGACAGUGGAACUCCAUGUGUAGCGGUGAAAUGCGUAGAUAUAUGGAAGAACACCAGUGGCGAAGGCGGCUGUCUGGUCUGUAACUGACGCUGAGGCUCGAAAGUAUGGGUAGCAAACAGGAUUAGAUACCCUGGUAGUCCAUACCGUAAACGAUGAAUGCUAAGUGUUGGAGGGUUUCCGCCCUUCAGUGCUGCAGCUAACGCAUUA